AACGAACGCUGGCGGCAUGCCUAACACAUGCAAGUCGAACGAAGGCUUCGGCCUUAGUGGCGCACGGGUGCGUAACGCGUGGGAAUCUGCCCUUUGGUUCGGAAUAACAGCUGGAAACGGCUGCUAAUACCGGAUGAUGACGAAAGUCCAAAGAUUUAUCGCCAGAGGAUGAGCCCGCGUUGGAUUAGGUAGUUGGUGGGGUAAAGGCCUACCAAGCCGACGAUCCAUAGCUGGUCUGAGAGGAUGAUCAGCCACACUGGGACUGAGACACGGCCCAGACUGCUACGGGAGGCAGCAGUGGGGAAUAUUGGACAAUGGGCGCAAGCCUGAUCCAGCAAUGCCGCGUGAGUGAUGAAGGCCCUAGGGUUGUAAAGCUCUUUUACCCGGGAAGAUAAUGACUGUACCGGGAGAAUAAGCCCCGGCUAACUCCGUG
RNAcentral lists this ribosomal RNA (433 nucleotides) under uncultured bacterium. RNAcentral's name for it is "partial 16S ribosomal RNA". It matches the Rfam family "Bacterial small subunit ribosomal RNA", at positions 29 to 507 of the family's 1533-position model. The record is from RNAcentral.